Molecule: ribosomal RNA, 497 nt
Filed under: uncultured bacterium
Lineage: Bacteria
Description: partial 16S ribosomal RNA
Rfam family: Bacterial small subunit ribosomal RNA
Source: RNAcentral
GAUGAACGCUGGCGGCGUGCCUAAUACAUGCAAGUCGAGCGAACAGACGAGGAGCUUGCUCCUCUGACGUUAGCGGCGGACGGGUGAGUAACACGUGGAUAACCUACCUAUAAGACUGGGAUAACUUCGGGAAACCGGAGCUAAUACCGGAUAAUAUAUUGAACCGCAUGGUUCAAUAGUGAAAGACGGUUUUGCUGUCCCUUAUAGAUGGAUCCGCGCCGCAUUAGCUAGUUGGUAAGGUAACGGCUUACCAAGGCAACGAUGCGUAGCCGACCUGAAAGGGUGAUCGGCCACACUGGAACUGAGACACGGUCCAGACUCCUACGGGAGGCAGCAGUAGGGAAUCUUCCGCAAUGGGCGAAAGCCUGACGGAGCAACGCCGCGUGAGUGAUGAAGGUCUUCGGAUCGUAAAACUCUGUUAUUAGGGAAGAACAAAUGUGUAAGUAACUAUGCACGUCUUGACGGUACCUAAUCAGAAAGCCACGGCUAACUACGUG